UAUAUUCAGACUAGCCAUGCACGUCUAGUACAAACUAAAUGAUGGUGAAACUGCAAAUGGCUCAUUACAACGGUUAUGAUGUACCCGGGAGUUCCGAUGGAUAUUUCCAGUAACACUAGAACUAAUACAUGUCCCUGCGUUUAUUAGUUUCGCACAGUCCGUCGCUGAGUCAUGGUAAACAGUUGAUCGACUCGACGUCCCGGAACAGUUUCCGCCCCAUCAGCUUCGAUGGUUGGGUAUUGGCCUACCAUUGCAACAACGGGUAACGAGGAAUUAGGGUUUGAUUUCGGAGAGGGAGCCUGAGAAACGGCUACCACAUCUACGGAUGGCAGCAGGCGCGCAAAUUACCCAAUGCAGACACUGUGAGGUAGUGACGAGAAAUAAUAAAGCGGGACUUCUGUUUCGCUAUUAUAAUGAGGAAUAACCAAAGGUCAUUCCGAUUAGCAACUGAUGGGAAAGUCUGGUGCCAGCAGCCGCGGUAAUACCAGCGUCAGUAGCAU
RNAcentral lists this ribosomal RNA (500 nucleotides) under uncultured Myrionecta. RNAcentral's name for it is "SSU rRNA". It matches the Rfam family "Eukaryotic small subunit ribosomal RNA", at positions 33 to 600 of the family's 1831-position model. The record is from RNAcentral. Lineage: Eukaryota; Ciliophora; Litostomatea; Cyclotrichida; Mesodiniidae.